This 70-nucleotide transfer RNA is filed under the name Dipodomys ordii (Ord's kangaroo rat). It matches the Rfam family "tRNA". From Rfam's summary of the family: Transfer RNA (tRNA) molecules are approximately 80 nucleotides in length. Their secondary structure includes four short double-helical elements and three loops (D, anti-codon, and T loops). Lineage: Eukaryota; Metazoa; Chordata; Mammalia; Rodentia; Heteromyidae. The record is from Rfam by way of RNAcentral.
GGCAAUGUGGCUUAGUGGUAGAGCACUUGCCUAACAUGCAUGAAGACCUGGGUUCGAUUCCUCAGCACCA